This 253-nucleotide ribosomal RNA is filed under the name Acinetobacter radioresistens. RNAcentral describes it as "partial 16S ribosomal RNA". It matches the Rfam family "Bacterial small subunit ribosomal RNA", at positions 1147 to 1399 of the family's 1533-position model. The record is from RNAcentral. Lineage: Bacteria; Pseudomonadati; Pseudomonadota; Gammaproteobacteria; Moraxellales; Moraxellaceae.
GACUGCCAGUGACAAACYGGAGGAAGGUGGGGAUGACGUCAAGUCAUCAUGGCCCUUACGACCAGGGCUACACACGUGCUACAAUGGUCGGUACAAAGGGUAGCGACAUCGCGAGCUCAAGCUAAUCUCAAAAAGCCGUUCGCAGUCCGGAUCGCAGUCUGCAACUCGACUACAUGAAGUCGGAAUCGCUAGUAAUCGUGGAUCAGAAUGCCACGGUGAAUACGUUCCCGGGCCUUGUACACACCGCCCGUCA